Molecule: ribosomal RNA, 1157 nt
Filed under: Clostridioides difficile
Lineage: Bacteria; Bacillati; Bacillota; Clostridia; Peptostreptococcales; Peptostreptococcaceae
Description: partial 23S ribosomal RNA
Rfam family: Bacterial large subunit ribosomal RNA
Source: RNAcentral
UAGCCCAAACCAAUAAAGUUUUCUUUAUUGGGGUUGCGGACAUAUCAUAACGAAGAGGUAUCGUAAUUGAAGAGGUUUGGAAAGACCCACCACAGAAGGUAAUAGUCCUGUAUGUUAAACGAGAAGACUUCAGAUAUGAUCCAGAGUACCACGGGACACGUGAAACCCUGUGGGAAGCAGGAGGGACCACCCUCCAAGGCUAAAUACUACCUAGUGACCGAUAGCGUAUAGUACCGUGAGGGAAAGGUGAAAAGAACCCCGGGAGGGGAGUGAAAUAGAACCUGAAACCCUGCACUUACAAGCUGUGGAAGCACAUUUCUUGUGUGACCGCGUACUUUUUGUAGAACGGGCCAACGAGUUACGUUAAGUAGCAAGGUUAAGCACUUAAGGUGCGGAGCCGUAGCGAAAGCGAGUUUUAACUGAGCGUUCAGUUACUUGACGUAGACCCGAAACCGGGCGACCUACCCAUGAGCAGGAUGAAGCGAAAGUAAAAUUUCGUGGAGGUCCGAACCCACGAGCGUUGAAAAGCUCGGGGAUGACUUGUGGGUAGCGGUGAAAUUCCAAUCGAGCCCGGAGAUAGCUGGUUCUCCCCGAAAUAGCUUUAGGGCUAGCCUCAAGGUGAGAGAUACGGAGGUAGAGCACUGAAUGUCCUAGGGGGUAUUGCACCUACCGAAGACUAUCAAACUCCGAAUGCCGUCAUCUUAUACUUGGGAGUCAGACUGUGGGUGAUAAGAUUCAUAGUCGAAAGGGCAACAGCCCAGAUCGUCAGCUAAGGUCCCUAAAUGUAAGUUAAGUGGUAAAGGAUGUGGGAUUGCACAGACAACCAGGAUGUUGGCUUAGAAGCAGCCACUCAUUCAAAGAGUGCGUAAUAGCUCACUGGUCGAGUGAUCCUGCGCCGAAGAUUUCCGGGGCUAAAACUUACUACCGAAGCUACGGCAUCAGUAAUGAUGGGUAGGGGAGCUUCCCAUACGGGUUGAAGCAUGACCGUAAGGACAUGUGGACAGUAUGGGAGUGAGAAUGUUGGCAUGAGUAGCGAGAUGUGGGUGAGAAUCCCACAGGCCGUAAACCCAAGGUUUCCAGGGGAAGGUUCGUCCGCCCUGGGUUAGUCGGGACCUAAGCUGAGGCCGAAAGGCGUAGGUGAUGGACAACAGGUUGAU